This 354-nucleotide RNase P RNA is filed under the name Syntrophorhabdales bacterium. Its description in RNAcentral is "RNase P RNA component class A". It matches the Rfam family "Bacterial RNase P class A". From Rfam's summary of the family: Ribonuclease P (RNase P) is a ubiquitous endoribonuclease, found in archaea, bacteria and eukarya as well as chloroplasts and mitochondria. Its best characterised activity is the generation of mature 5'-ends of tRNAs by cleaving the 5'-leader elements of precursor-tRNAs. Lineage: Bacteria; Pseudomonadati; Thermodesulfobacteriota; Syntrophorhabdia; Syntrophorhabdales. The record is from RNAcentral.
AGGGGUAGACGGGUGACCGCUCCGUAUGGCGGGGAGGAAAGUCCGGGCAUCAAAGGGCAGGAUGGUCCCUAACAGGGACUGGGGGAAACCCUAAGGAAAGUGCAACAGAAAAUACACCGUCUCGUUAUAUACGGGAUAAGGGUGAAAUGGUGAGGUAAGAGCUCACCGGCUCUGUGGCGACACAGAGGCUUGGCAAACCCCAUCCGAUGCAAGGCCAAAAAGGGAUCGUGCCCUAUGGCACGAAGGGAGUGCCCAUCCCUUAACCCGGGUAGGCCGCAUAAGAUUCAGGGCAACCUGAAUAUGCAGAGAAAUGGUCACCAAAAACAGAACCCGGCUUACAGUCUACCCCUGUCC